AAGCGGGUGGUAACUCCAUCCAAGGCUAAAUACUAGCACGAGUCCGAUAGCGAACAAGUACCGUGAGGGAAAGUUGAAAAGUACUUUGAAGAGAGAGUAAACAGUGCGUGAAACCGUUCAGAGGUAAACAGGUGGAGUUGAACUGCAAGCUCUGAGGAUUCAGCUGGUGAGUAUGGCAUGAGCUUGGUCAUGUGGGUUGUGUGCCCGGGUCUGCUUAGCUGCAGGUCCCCGCUUCGGUGGGGGUGCGCGUAUCACUCAUCAGGUGUUGUGCGCCCGGGUAUUGACGAACCUGCUUGCCAGUGCACUUUCUCAGAGUGUUCACCACGACCGGCGUUGCCGUCUGGCUGUUGCGGUUAAACCGGCCUGGUAGGGUCCUCGUGGCCUUGCUAGGUCGGGAUGGCAGGUAGCCUGUUGUGCAGUUUACUGUGCUUCUGGUGUAAUAGCCGACUGCUUCGGUUCUGUGCGGUACGUCGGAGACGGCGGCUUGUUGUGCGUGCGGGCGUGCCUGUUGCGCUGGCGGCGCUGGGUCUGGUUGCCUUGUUGCUUGUAGAUACAGGCCAGGUGAUGGCUCGGUGUCGUUCGGUCAGCGGUCGCGUUCGUUGCACUUUGAAAGGGCCCACAGUCUGUGGUGUAGUGGUAUACUAUCCACCUGACCCGUCUUGAAACACGGACCAAGGAGAGUAACAUGUGCGCGAGUCAUUGGGCGUUACGAAACCCAAAGGCGCAGUGAAAGUAAAGG
RNAcentral lists this ribosomal RNA (739 nucleotides) under Parafasciolopsis fasciolaemorpha. RNAcentral describes it as "partial large subunit ribosomal RNA". It matches the Rfam family "Eukaryotic large subunit ribosomal RNA", at positions 290 to 731 of the family's 3401-position model. Lineage: Eukaryota; Metazoa; Platyhelminthes; Trematoda; Plagiorchiida; Fasciolidae. The record is from RNAcentral.